UACGAAGGGGGCUAGCGUUGCUCGGAAUUACUGGGCGUAAAGCGCGCGUAGGCGGCUUUGCAAGUCGGGUGUGAAAUCCCCAGGCUUAACCUGGGAACUGCAUUCGAGACUGCAUUGCUAGAGUAUGGGAGAGGGAAGUGGAAUUUCCGGUGUAGCGGUGAAAUGCGUAGAUAUCGGGAGGAACACCUGUGGCGAAGGCGGCCCCCUGGUUGGAUACUGACGCUGAUACGCGAAAGCGUGGGGAGCAAACAGGGAUU
Molecule: ribosomal RNA, 257 nt
Filed under: uncultured bacterium
Lineage: Bacteria
Description: partial 16S ribosomal RNA
Rfam family: Bacterial small subunit ribosomal RNA
Source: RNAcentral